AGCAGCAGCAGCAGCAGCAACAGCAGCAGCCUCACUAGACAUGCGCCAGUUUUGUUUCCAAAUUUGUAAUCAGCAGUGAGCAAGAUCUUCGAAUUAAUACAGCAAUAUGUUAUAUUACUGUAGUAAGAUAAUAAAUAGUCUGUGAACAAAACAAUCCAAAUUUGGCUAUCUAUGACAGUUAUUGCACGUGGCC
Molecule: long non-coding RNA, 193 nt
Organism: Vanessa tameamea
Lineage: Eukaryota; Metazoa; Arthropoda; Insecta; Lepidoptera; Nymphalidae
Exons: 2
Source: RefSeq, a predicted model, not a curated record